Molecule: non-coding RNA, 700 nt
Organism: Danio rerio (zebrafish)
Lineage: Eukaryota; Metazoa; Chordata; Actinopteri; Cypriniformes; Danionidae
Source: Ensembl
GUCGAAAAAAUCACGCACUGCUCAUGCUCUGCUCAUGCUUGCGGUGUGAAACAGGCUUAUGCUAACACAGGCUCAUUUUGUGUUAUGAAUAUACACUCACCUGCCAUUUCAUUAGGUACACCUGUCCAGCUUGUUACGCAAAUAUCUAAUCAGCCAUUCACAUGGCAGCAACUCACAGCAUUUGGGCAUGUAGACAUGGUCAAGACGAUCUGCUGCAGUUUAAAUCAAGCAUUAGAAUGGGGAUGAAAGGUGAUUUAAGUGACUUUGAACGUGGCAUGGUUGUUGGUGCCAUGAAAGGCAACAGUAACUCAAAUAACCACUAGUUGCAACUGAGGUCUGCAGAAGAGCAUCUCCUAACACACAACACAUCCAACCUUGAGGCCAGGGGCGGAUAGGCAACAGCAGGAAAAGACCACACUGGGUGCUGGGGGGUGAGUUAGGACGAAUCUAAGGGCCCAUACAUUUAGGGGAGCCCCUAAAACAUUAUCAAGGGCCCGUGCCGAACCUCACCCCGCUCUUCACUUUUAGACUUUUAGACUUUUAUUUUAAAUGAUGACCUUUCUUUCUUUCUUUCUUUCUUUCUUUCUUUCUUUCUUUCUUUCUUUCUUUCUUUCUUUCUUUCUUUCUUUCUUUCUUUCUUUCUUUCUUUCUUUCUUUCUUUCUUUCUUUCUUUCUUUCUUUCUUUCUUUCUUUCUUUCUU